AAACGUUAUGUAUGGCGCUGUCUUCUUCUUGGGGGCCGGUAUGACCGUCCCGGCUGUGGCAAUAUUUGGAUGGAUGUAUUUCGAGCAGCGCGAGGACAAUAAGCAAGUGGAAGAAAUGGAGAACGUAAAUAAGGACGUUUAGUGAUUUUUGAUAUAACCUAAAACUAAUUUACAGUGACUAAAAAUGCAUUAAAUAAUAAAACUUGA
Molecule: long non-coding RNA, 207 nt
Organism: Maniola jurtina (meadow brown)
Lineage: Eukaryota; Metazoa; Arthropoda; Insecta; Lepidoptera; Nymphalidae
Exons: 2
Source: RefSeq, a predicted model, not a curated record